AGGACUAUAGUUAAUAAUAACAUUUGAUUUGCAUUCAAAAAUUGUUGAUAUUUCAACUAAUCUUA
This 65-nucleotide transfer RNA is filed under the name Pterostichus madidus. RNAcentral describes it as "tRNA-Ala". It matches the Rfam family "tRNA". Rfam says of the family: Transfer RNA (tRNA) molecules are approximately 80 nucleotides in length. Their secondary structure includes four short double-helical elements and three loops (D, anti-codon, and T loops). The record is from RNAcentral. Lineage: Eukaryota; Metazoa; Arthropoda; Insecta; Coleoptera; Carabidae.